This 324-nucleotide ribosomal RNA is filed under the name uncultured eukaryote. RNAcentral describes it as "partial 18S ribosomal RNA". It matches the Rfam family "Eukaryotic small subunit ribosomal RNA", at positions 1470 to 1796 of the family's 1831-position model. The record is from RNAcentral.
CCCUUAGAUGUUCUGGGCCGCACGCGCGCUACACUGACGAAUGCAAUAAGUCACCUUGGCCGGUAGGUCUGGGUAAUCUUUGAACGUUCGUCGUGAUGGGGAUAGAUUAUUGUAAUUUUUAAUCUUCAACGAGGAAUUCCUAGUAAGCGCGAUUCAUCAGAUCGCGUUGAUUACGUCCCUGCCCUUUGUACACACCGCCCGUCGCUCCUACCGAUUGCGUGGUCCGGUGAGGCUUUCGGAUUCCGAUCAGCUGGUAGUUCGCUGCUUGGCUAUUGGGAGAAGUUAUCCAAACCUUACCACGUAGAGGAAGGAGAANUCGUAACA